UGAAGAUUCUAUUUCCCCCACGAUGUC
RNAcentral lists this non-coding RNA (27 nucleotides) under Mus musculus (house mouse). Lineage: Eukaryota; Metazoa; Chordata; Mammalia; Rodentia; Muridae. The record is from RNAcentral.